AGGAACUUGGCACAUAAUAAAAAGUACAAAAAGGCAGAAAUAAAUCUAUAAGUUCCAGAUGCAUAUAUCCAACGACCUACUUGGUAUAUUCACACAAGUAAUUCACAGAUAUCUCAGACUUGGCAUGUCCAGACUGAACUCUUGGUUCAGACUCUUCCAUUUCCCAAAACCUUUUCCUCCCUCAAUCUUCCUCAUCUCUCCAAAUAGCACCACCAUUCACCUACUUGGUCAAGUCAAAACACUGGAAAUCAUCCUGUGAAGAGACGAAUCUCCCUUAUUUGCUAGAUGAUACUCAGGCCCCCUAUAUGGGCAGCUAUCAUCUGAGAUCUGAAUGUUCCUCUUGCCAACAAGGCCAGUCCCCCUUGGAA
Ceratotherium simum simum (southern white rhinoceros) is the source of this 368-nucleotide non-coding RNA. The record is from RefSeq and is a predicted model, not a curated record. NCBI's taxonomy places the organism in Eukaryota, Metazoa, Chordata, Mammalia, Perissodactyla, Rhinocerotidae.